GCCAGUGACUUUUUAUAAAUAAACACGACGGGGCAAAGCGAAAACAAGUUUCAGUCGAAAUCCACACAACUACAUAAGGCCAAAGAGAGCGCACGCUCUUUUUGAAGAGAGAGAGUGAGAGAGAGAGAGAGAGAGAGAGAGAGAGGGGAGACGACCGCAUUCCUAACUGUAAACAAGCAAGAAGCGGAGACACUAUAAAAGUGGGAAAGAGACAAGGCGACAGGCUAAGAAUGCGGCGCUGCUGGAAAAACUCGUUUUUCCCGCUGGAAAAGGAAAAUAUGGAUAAAAAAGAAUUCGAGGAAUUUUCGUGCGAAAGAGAAAGAGAAGUGGUGUAAAAAUAAACAAGAAUCCGAACCCGAUUACGAAUACAUACACAGGGCAACGAAGGAAGAGAAUUGGAAUAGCUGAAAAACAGAGCGGACAAAACAAAAUGCUUGAAAAGCGAAGGGGCAGCUCAAAGCGGACAAGCUGAUACGUAGUAAAACAUACCAACGACGGCAACUUCAAAUGUAAAUAAGUAUAUAAACGAGGUAUGUAAGCGGAUGAGUGUGUGCAACAACAACAGUAAACCUAAUGACAACAAACCGAGCAACAGACAUGCAAGUGAAAGGCCUUUGCGUUGUUUCCCAUCCACUACUCAAGUUAUUUGCAAAAUAAAAACAGCUAAAAGAAGACAAAGUGAUGAACUCGGAUCGGGAGAGAGAGGGGCAUAAUUUUACUUUUGGCUGCUUGCAAGAGAAAAUAAAAUAAAUAAUUCAUUUAUUGGUUGCUGCUAAUAGAUAGCAAUUAAAAGUAAAAGAAACCACAAUAAAUUGUUGUUUAGAAACCAGCUGGAAUCAUUG
Drosophila melanogaster (fruit fly) is the source of this 842-nucleotide non-coding RNA. NCBI's taxonomy places the organism in Eukaryota, Metazoa, Arthropoda, Insecta, Diptera, Drosophilidae. The record is from Ensembl.